RNAcentral lists this ribosomal RNA (515 nucleotides) under Boletina trivittata. RNAcentral describes it as "eukaryotic LSU rRNA". The record is from RNAcentral. Lineage: Eukaryota; Metazoa; Arthropoda; Insecta; Diptera; Mycetophilidae.
GAACAUCGACAUUUUGAACGCAUAUUGCGGUCCAUACUGACUAGUUUCUUAAUUGAAGCUGUAUGGACCACACAUGGUUGAGGGUCGUUAGUUUACGCUAACUGAAUUGCUUUUUUAAUUAAGAGCUACAUCCUGAGGUGUUGUCAAACCUUAAGUGUGUUGACAUCCCUUGAAAAUACCUUUGGUACACAAUUUUUAUUUAAUUGUGAAUGCUUGUUUUAUCAAAGAAAACAAAUAUUGGUUCAAGAUUUGUGAAUGAACAAUUUCGAGGCUAGUAAACUUUGACUAAGCGUUUAAACAUAAUAGUUUACGUAUUUGAAUGUGCUAACCUGAACACUUUGAAAUUAUUCUUUAAUUUAUUCACUGCCGUCUGAAUACAAACAAUAUUUAUUCGUUAAUUUUCUUAUGAAAUAAAAAAAACACUCCCAUUUGUACGAACGCGGGUGGCAUUCUCAACAUAUUACAAUAUAAAUUGCAAAAAACAAACCAAAAGCGACCUCAACUCAUGUGAGACU